Molecule: long non-coding RNA, 2813 nt
Organism: Setaria italica (foxtail millet)
Lineage: Eukaryota; Viridiplantae; Streptophyta; Magnoliopsida; Poales; Poaceae
Exons: 2
Source: RefSeq, a predicted model, not a curated record
AUCUCCAUCUAUAUUCCACACCGUCAGAUCCACGAUCCGGCGGCCCGCGGCCCACAUCGGGCAGCGCACUAACUCUGGCGGCGCCGGCCGGCGACUGCUGCCGCGCGCUCCGCAUCCCCGCCGCACCGCUACAGCGGGCUCCGGCGAUGGAAGCAGCACCCCCUCUGUUUGCCGUAGGGAGCGGAGCCGUAGUCGGCCCCCGCGCUCGCUGCAAGAGCGACGACGGCGAGCCAGCCAGCCUCCGCCAUUCAAGCAAGUCCUGCGCAAUAGCUUGAGGAGUGGGGAGGAGGAAGGAAGCAAACAGGACGCGGAUGGAGGCGGAAUGAGCUAUGAGCGGGUACCUGUUCUACAACAGUGGUUGCUUCAGAGAUGUAAGAUAUUCUUGCGAGGGACAUGUCAAUCAUCAUCUUCGCAUAUGUUGCUCCAACCAUGAGGAGCAUAGGUACAACUAGCAGAGAGAGCAUGCCAACCUCCCAGCAGCAUGCAAAUGCAACAAUGAUAGCAACUACGAAUGUGGAGAAGUUUGACAUAAAGUGACCCAUCUGAAGAAAGUAAGGAAGCUUUUUUAAGUUUUGUUACCAUCAAGUAUGUUUGGGUUAGUGAAUCUUGCAGAGUUGCAGUGGGUAUUCUAAAGGGAAAAUUAAUACCUUUUCACCAAUUGCAUCUUGUAUUACACUCAUGUGGUUGGUUGCUCCAGCAAUGAUGUUUGCAGUGGACAAGUCAGUAUCGAAAGCUCCAAUAUCUUGACUGAGCACUGAUCUCAGGUAUGCCAUCCGCAUGCGUGCCAUUUGCCUCUGACUUGUAUACAUCCAACAUGCAAUUUCUGCAGCAGGGCCACUGUGAGUUUGUGUAAGAUUAGACAGUUCAUUGGGAAAUGACUUAUGAUUUUCGUAUUGCUUUUGUUUCUCAUGAUGCAGUGUUCUCUUUGCUGCGUGUGUGGACAAUCAGUUAGAUAGCCUGUUACUGUAUUCAAAUAUCAAAUACACAUUUUGGUCCUCUUAUCUUUAGCCAAUGAAUGAGUUAAAUACUGCAUGAUAAAAUGGCGUUGACAAAAAAAGGAUGAAACGACAACCAGCUUAAACAAUUAUAUUUAUAACUCCACUGCACGUCAAAGUAGUUCAACUGAUCCAGCACUCCUCAACCCAAACACUAGCCUUAGCUUUUGUAAACUUGCUGAAGCUAUGGCUCACAUGCAAAUAAUGCAUUAACCUGGCAAAAUGUAGUUUAAGAUAAUUCAGGCUUCAUGUCCUACCUAGUUUGACUGAGAUUCACAUGUUGUGCAUCUUUAUCUUCGAAUAAUUUAGCCCCCAGAAUGUUUUUAACGAAUAGUUCUGUCAGGUUUUAUGCAUCCUAUUGUUCUUCGUAUAUUUUCUCAAAGCACUCAGUGUUCUACAUAGACACUCCAUUCGAUGACUUAAAUAAUUCUGUUGGUCUUCAUAUAGGCUUAUACUUUUUUUUUUAAACUAUACAGCGGGGAGACCCCCACUGUGGUAAGAUAUAUCAGUAAGCAAAGAAAAAAAUACUGUUCACAGACAAGUGUCCAAAGGGCACCGUAGCGCCCAAAAAAAAAAGUUAGAACUUAGGCUUAUACUUGUCAGUUAUAUUAGUUCACUGAAUUUUCAGAUUUGCAUAGGUUCCUUUAGAUCUUCAGUAUGCUUUAUAGAUGGCAUAAUUAUCAGUCUGUUUUCUUUUGCUUACAUUGUCAGUAAUAUAGCAAAGUUAGAACUUAGGAGACUUCACUUACCAAUCAUUCCACCAGGAAGCGUAACAAUUGCCAAGGCCCACAUAUAUGGAAUUAACUGCAAACAGGAUCAUUGGAAGUAUUCACUGUUAGUGAAAUAACAAUAAACCAUUCAGCAGAAUCGAAUGGCAUUUAGUAGGGUAGCUUGAAAACAAAUUAGAUCGAAGGUAAGUAACCUUGUUGAGUUCAUGGACUGUGGCCUCUUUAUUGCCUAUGUUGUUCCCAAUCGCAUCGACAGAUUUCCCGAGUAUGUAGUACGACAAAGCAGGCCCCAUGCCGUGUAUGAAGGACCCCAUGGUACCUGACACCAUGAGUAGCCAAUCUAGCGCAUCAGCGUAGGAAAGUAGGCCAAGAAACGGAAACGGCUUGUCUUCAGCCUCCGUUUCUGGUGCCAUCGAUGCUGGUCCUGAGCUUUUCUUUCCAUCUGCAAUGUUGGGUACAGAUGAUUCAGUGGGCCUAUCCUUCUCUUGGACAAGUGGCAUUGCUUUUGCUGAAUCUUGUGCUAUUUUGCAAAAGAUUUGCAGGCACAAUGAGCUUUAUAGUACUAAUGUGUUUUUUAUAUGCACACUGACAACCAUACAACUACAAAAUUGCAGGACACUCCAUUGGUACUAUCAAGAUUCACAAUUAAUUACUCCAGCUCCAGCCUGGGAAAAAUACUUUAUCUAUUGCUCUAUCUUAGCGGCUACCGUUCUUAUUCACAACUCCUUUGCUGACAUGAUGCAGCAUGUCAAGCCUGCGUAUUCAUGCUUAUUCACAACUCCUUUGCUGACAUGAUGCAGCAUGUCAAGCCUGCGUAUUCAUGCUUACAAGUAAACUUUCCAGGCGAUGUCUGCAACUUCAGUUACGCAGUAAAAGUCACUUCAUUGGGAAACACUAAGCAUGAAUCUUUUGUUGUUGUAAUCAAAUUGUAGGGCAUGAGGCAACUUUGUUUUCAUCUACAGAUUACAGUACUUUACGCCAUCUACAAGUGUAAUCCAGAGUAGCCAUGACUUACUGGAACCAGAUCUUACUCUACAUGUUCCGUAGUCCUUCCAAAUAACAAAUGAAGACACCAUCUAUCUUCCUCGUA